AACGAACGCUGGCGGUAUGCUUUACACAUGCAAGUCGAACGAACUUAGGCCUAGCUUGCUAGGAACGGUUAGUGGCAGACGGGUGAGUAACGCGUGGGAACCUACCUUUUAGUACGGAAUGGUCCUGGGAAACUGGGUUUAAUACCGUAUACGCUCUCCGGAGGAAAGAUUUAUCGCUAAAAGAUGGGCCCGCGUUAGAUUAGCUUGUUGGUGAGGUAAUGGCUUACCAAGGCUACGAUCUAUAGCUGGUUUGAGAGGAUGAUCAGCCACACUGGAACUGAGACACGGUCCAG
This 293-nucleotide ribosomal RNA is filed under the name uncultured bacterium. Its description in RNAcentral is "partial 16S ribosomal RNA". It matches the Rfam family "Bacterial small subunit ribosomal RNA", at positions 29 to 334 of the family's 1533-position model. The record is from RNAcentral.